GAUGAACGCUGGCGGCGUGCCUAAUACAUGCAAGUCGAGCGAACAGAUGAGGAGCUUGCUCCUCUGACGUUAGCGGCGGACGGGUGAGUAACACGUGGAUAACCUACCUAUAAGACUGGGAUAACUUCGGGAAACCGGAGCUCAUACCGGAUAAUAUAUUGAACCGCAAGGUUCAAUAGUGAAAGACGGUUUUGCUGUCACUUAUAGAUGGAUCCGCGCCGCAUUAGCUAGUUGGUAAGGUAACGGCUUACCAAGGCGACGAUGCGUAGCCGACCUGAGAGGGUGAUCGGCCACACUGGAACUGAGACACGGUCCAGACUCCUACGGGAGGCAGCAGUAGGGAAUCUUCCGCAAUGGGCGAAAGCCUGACGGAGCAACGCCGCGUGAGUGAUGAAGGUCUUCGGAUCGUAAAACUCUGUUAUUAGGGAAGAACAAAUGUGUAAGUAACUAUGCACGUCUUGACGGUACCUAAUCAGAAAGCCACGGCUAACUACGUG
RNAcentral lists this ribosomal RNA (497 nucleotides) under uncultured bacterium. RNAcentral's name for it is "partial 16S ribosomal RNA". It matches the Rfam family "Bacterial small subunit ribosomal RNA", at positions 28 to 507 of the family's 1533-position model. The record is from RNAcentral.